This 261-nucleotide unclassified non-coding RNA is filed under the name air metagenome. Its description in RNAcentral is "partial contains small subunit ribosomal RNA, internal transcribed spacer 1, and 5.8S ribosomal RNA". The stretch from base 1 to 46 matches the Rfam family "Eukaryotic small subunit ribosomal RNA", at positions 1786 to 1831 of the family's 1831-position model. The record is from RNAcentral.
AAGUCGUAACAAGGUUUCCGUAGGUGAACCUGCGGAAGGAUCAUUAUUGAAUAAACCUGAUGAGUUGUAGCUGGCUUUUCGGAGCAUGUGCUCGCCUGUCAUCUUUAUAUUUCCACCUGUGCACCUUUUGUAGACCCGAGCGACUUUACAAGUCAAUUGGGCCUAUGUCUAUCAUAUACCCCUAGUAUGUAUUAGAAUGUAUCAAUGGGCUUCGUGCCUAUAAACACUAUACAACUUUCAGCAACGGAUCUCUUGGCUCUC